ACCUGGCUGGCUCAGUCGGAAGAGCAUGAGACUUUUGAUCUCAGGGUUGUGAGUUCAAGCCCCCAUGGUG
This 70-nucleotide transfer RNA is filed under the name Mustela putorius furo (domestic ferret). It matches the Rfam family "tRNA". Rfam says of the family: Transfer RNA (tRNA) molecules are approximately 80 nucleotides in length. Their secondary structure includes four short double-helical elements and three loops (D, anti-codon, and T loops). Lineage: Eukaryota; Metazoa; Chordata; Mammalia; Carnivora; Mustelidae. The record is from Rfam by way of RNAcentral.